UACGUAGGGAGCGAGCGUUAUCCGGAAUUAUUGGGUGUAAAGGGUGCGUAGACGGGAAAGCAAGUUAGUUGUGAAAUCCCUCGGCUUAACUGAGGAACUGCAACUAAAACUGAUUUUCUUGAGUACUGGAGAGGAAAGUGGAAUUCCUAGUGUAGCGGUGAAAUGCGUAGAUAUUAGGAGGAACACCAGUGGCGAAGGCGACUUUCUGGACAGUAACUGACGUUGAGGCACGAAAGUGCGGGUAUCGAACAGG
This 253-nucleotide ribosomal RNA is filed under the name uncultured Eubacteriales bacterium. RNAcentral describes it as "uncultured Clostridiales bacterium partial 16S ribosomal RNA". It matches the Rfam family "Bacterial small subunit ribosomal RNA", at positions 524 to 776 of the family's 1533-position model. The record is from RNAcentral. Lineage: Bacteria; Bacillati; Bacillota; Clostridia; Eubacteriales.